Mya arenaria is the source of this 832-nucleotide long non-coding RNA. RefSeq lists it as uncharacterized. Lineage: Eukaryota; Metazoa; Mollusca; Bivalvia; Myida; Myidae. The transcript has 3 exons. The record is from RefSeq and is a predicted model, not a curated record.
CACUUGUAAGCGUCUGAUUGAAGAUGAAGGAAAUACCAAAAAGUGAAACUACGCCUGACAAUUAUUGAACAGUUGUUUUUGUAGAUAAGUAUUAGUGGUAUGGAAGUGACAAUAAAUCUAUUGUAUAAAUUACAUACGGGCAGAUCAUACAAAAAUGAUAACAACGCAAUAAUUAACAUGAACCCAAAAAAAAACAACCUUACCGAAGACCGAGUUGUUCAUGAGUUUGAAGAAGUUCUUCUCGAAAGCAGUCUUGGCUUGUUGUCGCAUUUUGGUGUUGAACUCAACGUAGGGUUUCAUGAAAGCCUCUUGUUGGAACUCUAAUACUUUAUGUAUUUUUUUCAACUUUAGACCGAGUUGGAGAUGCAGUUGCAGGUUGCGAUAGUGCCUUUGAUUUUACAAAUGCCACGACUACUUUGUUUGGUUUUUGUCCUUGAAACAAAUUAUCCCAUGUAAACAUUGUACUUCCAGCAGCAAGACUUUGCGAUCGACACUCUGUCAAAUGGAUAUUUAGCUGUGCUGUUUUUCAACAACUCUGCAUGAGCUACAAUAAGAGCUGGAUUGACUCUUAACUUCUUUGCUAUUCGCUUUUCGCUUGAUUUACAAUUUGCUGUGUGGGGGAAGUUCAAUGUCAAGUCACUGCUCUCUGCGGAAGCCUUAUGAGAUCAUCCGGGGAUAUCGCCAUAUUGAAAACCCGCCAGAGGUUCGGUCCACGUCCAUGGUGCUCGGGAUGAGUCAUUGGAGGACGAAGAUCGGGUGUCCUUAUGCUGCCAUGAAAUGUCGUUUUUAUGAUGUCCAAUUAUGUUCAAAAAUAAACAACUUGGAGAAUGUG